RNAcentral lists this transfer RNA (63 nucleotides) under Aderidae sp. GENSP01. RNAcentral describes it as "tRNA-Cys". The record is from RNAcentral. Lineage: Eukaryota; Metazoa; Arthropoda; Insecta; Coleoptera; Aderidae.
AAUCCAAUAGUCAAUUAUGAUAUAAAAUUGCAAAUUUUAAGGUAAUAUACAUAUUCUGGAUUU